CCUACGGGAGGCAGCAGUGGGGGAUAUUGCACAAUGGGGGAAACCCUGAUGCAGCGACGCCGCGUGUGGGAAGACGGUCUUCUGGCUUGUAAACCACUGUCCCCAGGGACGAAAAUGACGGUACCUGGGGAGGAAGCUCCGGCUAACUACGUGCCAGCAGCCGCGGUAAUACGUAGGGAGCAAGCGUUGUCCGGAAUUACUGGGUGAAAAGGGAGCGUAGGCGGGGAUGCAAGUUGGGUGUCAAAACUACCGGCUCAACCGAUAGUCGCACUCAAAACUGCAGCUCUUGAGUGAAGUAGAGGCAGGCGGAAUUCCUAGUGUAGCGGUGAAAUGCGUAGAUAGUAGGAGGAACACCAGUGGCGAAGGCGGCCUGCUGGGCUUUUACUGACGCUGAGGCUCGAAAGUGUGGGGAGCAAACAGGAUUAGAUACCCCGGUAGUC
This 440-nucleotide ribosomal RNA is filed under the name uncultured bacterium. RNAcentral describes it as "partial 16S ribosomal RNA". It matches the Rfam family "Bacterial small subunit ribosomal RNA", at positions 338 to 795 of the family's 1533-position model. The record is from RNAcentral.